This 253-nucleotide ribosomal RNA is filed under the name uncultured bacterium. Its description in RNAcentral is "partial 16S ribosomal RNA". It matches the Rfam family "Bacterial small subunit ribosomal RNA", at positions 524 to 776 of the family's 1533-position model. The record is from RNAcentral.
UACAGAGGGGGCAAGCGUUGUUCGGAAUUACUGGGCGUAAAGGGCGCGUAGGCGGCCCGCUAAGUCGAACGUGAAAUCCCCGAGCUCAACUCGGGAACUGCGUCCGAUACUGGCGGGCUUGAAUCCGGGAGAGGGAUGCGGAAUUCCAGGUGUAGCGGUGAAAUGCGUAGAUAUCUGGAGGAACACCGGUAGCGAAGGCGGCAUCCUGGACCGGCAUUGACGCUGAGGCGCGAAAGCUAGGGGAGCAAACGGG